GGACUACCAGGGUUUCUAAUCCUGUUUGCUCCCCUUGCUCUCGCGCCUCAGCGUCAGGAAUAAGCUAGAAAAUCGCCUUCGCCACCGGUGUUCUUCCACAUAUCUACGCAUUUCACCGCUACACGUGGAAUUCCAUUUUCUCCGCCAAUCCUCAAGACUCGCAGUCUUAAUUGCAGCUCCGAAGUUGAGCUUCGGAAUUUCACAAUUAACUUGCCAGCCCGCCUACGCGCCCUUUACGCCCAAUAAAUCCGAUUAAUGCUUGCACCCUCCGUAUUACCGCGGCUGCUGGCAC
RNAcentral lists this ribosomal RNA (292 nucleotides) under uncultured bacterium. RNAcentral's name for it is "partial 16S ribosomal RNA". The record is from RNAcentral.